UACGGAGGGGGCUAGCGUUGUUCGGAAUUACUGGGCGUAAAGCGCGCGUAGGCGGACCUGCAAGUCGGGGGGUGAAAGCCCGAGGCUCAACCUCGGAACUGCCUUCGAUACUGCGGGUCUCGAGUCCGGGAGAGGUGAGUGGAAUUCCUAGUGUAGAGGUGAAAUUCGUAGAUAUUAGGAAGAACACCAGUGGCGAAGGCGGCUCACUGGCCCGGUACUGACGCUGAGGCGCGAAAGCGUGGGGGAGCAAACAGGG
RNAcentral lists this ribosomal RNA (256 nucleotides) under uncultured bacterium. RNAcentral's name for it is "partial 16S ribosomal RNA". It matches the Rfam family "Bacterial small subunit ribosomal RNA", at positions 524 to 777 of the family's 1533-position model. The record is from RNAcentral.